This is a non-coding RNA of Lasiosphaeria hispida, 92 nucleotides long. The record is from the annotation of a GenBank genome assembly. Lineage: Eukaryota; Fungi; Ascomycota; Sordariomycetes; Sordariales; Lasiosphaeriaceae.
GCCCGCUUAGCUCAGUGGUAGAGCGCAUCACUAGUAUCUCAACACAAGAUCCCGACAUGAUGAGGUCCUCAGUUCGACUCUGGGAGUGGGCU